AUAUUAGUAUUCCACUGGUUCUAGCUCCCAAAUC
RNAcentral lists this transfer RNA (34 nucleotides) under Sinomicrurus macclellandi (MacClellands coral snake). RNAcentral's name for it is "partial tRNA-Leu". The record is from RNAcentral. Lineage: Eukaryota; Metazoa; Chordata; Lepidosauria; Squamata; Elapidae.